CCUACGGGAGGCAGCAGUGGGGAAUAUUGGGCAAUGGGCGCAAGCCUGACCCAGCAACGCCGCGUGAAGGAAGAAGGCUUUCGGGUUGUAAACUUCUUUUAAGAGGGAAGAGCAGAAGACGGUACCUCUUGAAUAAGCCACGGCUAACUACGUGCCAGCAGCCGCGGUAAUACGGAGGUGGCAAGCGUUGUCCGGAUUUACUGGGUGUAAAGGGCGUGUAGCCGGGCUGACAAGUCAGAUGUGAAAUUCCCGGGCUCAACCCCCGACCUGCAGUUGAAACUGUUGGUCUUGAGUAUCGGAGAGGCAGGCGGAAUGCGUAGUGUAGCGGUGAAAUGCGUAGAUAUUAGGAGGAACACCAGUGGCGAAGGCGGCCUGCUGGACGCCAACUGACGGUGAGGCGCGAAAGCGUGGGGAGCAAACAGGAUUAGAUACCCGUGUAGUC
Molecule: ribosomal RNA, 442 nt
Filed under: uncultured bacterium
Lineage: Bacteria
Description: partial 16S ribosomal RNA
Rfam family: Bacterial small subunit ribosomal RNA
Source: RNAcentral